GGGCUACACACGUGCUACAAUGGCGGUGAUAGUGGGAAGCUAGGUGGUGACACCAUGGUGAUCUCUAAAAGCCGUCUCAGUUCGGAUUGCACUCUGCAACUCGAGUGCAUGAAGGUGGAAUCGCUAGUAAUCGCGGAUCAGCAUGCCGCGGUGAA
This 155-nucleotide ribosomal RNA is filed under the name Acetobacter pasteurianus. Its description in RNAcentral is "partial 16S rRNA". It matches the Rfam family "Bacterial small subunit ribosomal RNA", at positions 1211 to 1366 of the family's 1533-position model. The record is from RNAcentral. Lineage: Bacteria; Pseudomonadati; Pseudomonadota; Alphaproteobacteria; Acetobacterales; Acetobacteraceae.